CCUUUUAAUUUUCUGUUUUUAAUUCAGCCAAUGAGUGGCUGAUUUCUUUAAUUCUAGUUGAGAAUUGGUUGAAACUAAGGUUGUUUAAUGGGUUGUGAGAUCUGAACAUAAAUUAUUGUCUUUGGUUUUGUUCAAUAUUUAUGCAAUUGAUGCUUUAAUUACAUGAUUACUUUAUUGUUUUGAUCAAAUUGGCCACUUGAUUUUAAUUGCAAAGUUAAUUAAUUGUUAGUUGGGAUUAUUUUUAAUCCGUAAUUGCUGGAAAUAUUCUGACCUUAGAACACUUGGUGUAGAAACCAAGGAAUUGCAUGAUCUAGCGUUAUCUCCAUACGUUUGGGUAGCUAGGAUUGGAUCUCUCUAUUUCUUUAUGCAAUUGACAAUUGUUUUGAUGCCUAUGGCCCAAGGACGUUCCUUGGCAAUUUGUUAAUUAGUAAUUGAUUAGAG
This 441-nucleotide long non-coding RNA is filed under the name Manihot esculenta (cassava). RNAcentral describes it as "long non-coding RNA (MESC_LNC011835)". Lineage: Eukaryota; Viridiplantae; Streptophyta; Magnoliopsida; Malpighiales; Euphorbiaceae. The record is from RNAcentral.